GGAUUGUGGCUCAGCGGUAGAGCUCUUCCCUAGCAUGGGCGGGACCUGGGAUUCGAUUCUCAGCACCA
This 68-nucleotide transfer RNA is filed under the name Marmota monax (woodchuck). Its description in RNAcentral is "tRNA.Ala". Lineage: Eukaryota; Metazoa; Chordata; Mammalia; Rodentia; Sciuridae. The record is from RNAcentral.